GAUGAACGCUGGCGGCGUGCCUAAUACAUGCAAGUCGAGCGAACGGACGAGAAGCUUGCUUCUCUGAUGUUAGCGGCGGACGGGUGAGUAACACGUGGAUAACCUACCUAUAAGACUGGGAUAACUUCGGGAAACCGGAGCUAAUACCGGAUGAUAUUUUGAACCGCAUGGUUCAAAAGUGAAAGACGGUCUUGCUGUCACUUAUAGAUGGAUCCGCGCUGCAUUAGCUAGUUGGUAAGGUAACGGCUUACCAAGGCAACGAUGCAUAGCCGACCUGAGAGGGUGAUCGGCCACACUGGAACUGGGACACGGUCCAGACUCCUACGGGAGGCAGCAGUAGGGAAUCUUCCGCAAUGGGCGAAAGCCUGACGGAGCAACGCCGCGUGAGUGAUGAAGGUCUUCGGAUCGUAAAACUCUGUUAUUAGGGAAGAACAUAUGUGUAAGUAACUGUGCACAUCUUGACGGUACCUAAUCAGAAAGCCACGGCUAACUACGUG
RNAcentral lists this ribosomal RNA (497 nucleotides) under uncultured bacterium. RNAcentral describes it as "partial 16S ribosomal RNA". It matches the Rfam family "Bacterial small subunit ribosomal RNA", at positions 28 to 507 of the family's 1533-position model. The record is from RNAcentral.